Molecule: ribosomal RNA, 497 nt
Filed under: uncultured bacterium
Lineage: Bacteria
Description: partial 16S ribosomal RNA
Rfam family: Bacterial small subunit ribosomal RNA
Source: RNAcentral
GACGAACGCUGGCGGCGUGCCUAAUACAUGCAAGUAGAACGCUGAAGAGAGGAGCUUGCUCUUCUUGGAUGAGUUGCGAACGGGUGAGUAACGCGUAGGUAACCUGCCUGGUAGCGGGGGAUAACUAUUGGAAACGAUAGCUAAUACCGCAUAAAAUUGAUUAUUGCAUGAUAAUUAAUUGAAAGAUGCAACUGCAUCACUACCAGAUGGACCUGCGUUUUAUUAGCUAGUUGGUGAGGUAACGGCUCACCAAGGCGACGAUACAUAGCCGACCUGAGAGGGUGAUCGGCCACACUGGGACUGAGACACGGCCCAGACUCCUACGGGAGGCAGCAGUAGGGAAUCUUCGGCAAUGGGGGGAACCCUGACCGAGCAACGCCGCGUGAGUGAAGAAGGUUUUCGGAUCGUAAAGCUCUGUUGUAAGAGAAGAACGGGUGUGAGAGUGGUAAGUUCACACUGUGACGGUAUCUUACCAGAAAGGGACGGCUAACUACGUG